This 467-nucleotide ribosomal RNA is filed under the name uncultured bacterium. Its description in RNAcentral is "partial 16S ribosomal RNA". It matches the Rfam family "Bacterial small subunit ribosomal RNA", at positions 28 to 507 of the family's 1533-position model. The record is from RNAcentral.
GACGAACGCUGGCGGCGUGCUUAACACAUGCAAGUCGAACGGAAAGGCCCUGCUUUUGUGGGGUGCUCGAGUGGCGAACGGGUGAGUAACACGUGAGUAACCUGCCCUUGACUUUGGGAUAACUUCAGGAAACUGGGGCUAAUACCGGAUAGGAGCUCCUGCUGCAUGGUGGGGUUGGAAAGUUUCGGCGGUUGGGGAUGGACUCGCGGCUUAUCAGCUUGUUGGUGGGGUAGUGGCUUACCAAGGCUUUGACGGGUAGCCGGCCUGAGAGGGUGACCGGCCACAUUGGGACUGGGAUACGGCCCAGACUCCUACGGGAGGCAGCAGUGGGGAAUAUUGCACAAUGGGCGGAAGCCUGAUGCAGCAACGCCGCGUGCGGGAUGACGGCCUUCGGGUUGUAAACCGCUUUCGCCUGUGACGAAGCGUGAGUGACGGUAAUGGGUAAAGAAGCACCGGCUAACUACGUG